This 640-nucleotide ribosomal RNA is filed under the name Mazzaella volans. RNAcentral's name for it is "eukaryotic LSU rRNA". It matches the Rfam family "Eukaryotic large subunit ribosomal RNA", at positions 1264 to 1922 of the family's 3401-position model. Lineage: Eukaryota; Rhodophyta; Florideophyceae; Gigartinales; Gigartinaceae. The record is from RNAcentral.
GAAUCCGCYAAGGAGUGUGUAACAACUCACCUGCCGAAUGAAUUAGCCCUGAAAAUGGAUGGCGCUGAAGCGGGCGGCCGACACCAUGCCGUCUGGACAAGAAAUGUUUUCAGAUGAGUAGGAGGGCGUGGCGGCCGUGUCGAAGCGCGCCUGCAGAGGCGUGUGGAACGGCCGCUAGUGCAGAUCUUGGUGGUAGUAGCAAGUAUUCAAGCGAGAUCCUUGAAGGGCGAAGUGGGGAAGGGUUUCACGCGAACAUUGAUUGGGCGUGAGUGAGUCGUUCCUAAGCCGAGUGGCAAUUGCUAAUUAACGGCGAAAGGGAAGCGGGUUGACAUUCCCGCACACGGAUGUGGAGGCGGCGACGCAUUAUUGGGGCGAACACGCUGGCGAUGGCGCUGGGCAGAGUUGUCUUUUCUGUUUGACCGCUUGCGCACGCAGUGUGGAAUCCGCUUGUCGGGAGAAACACGCGUGUACGGGCAGAGCGCUGGGGCUUUUCCAGCGUCCAGCUCGCCAUCGACGGCCCUUGAAACUUUGCCUGCUGAAUCUUAAGAUCCACGCCGUGGCGUACCGAUCACCGCAUCAGGUCCCCAAGGUGAACAGCCUCUGCUCAAUAUGAAAAAUGCAGGUAAGGGAAGUCGGCAAA